GCUCUUUGGUGAUUCAUGAUAACUUAACGGAUCGCAUGGCCUUGCGCCGGCGACGGUUCAUUCAAAUUUCUGCCCUAUCAACUUUCGAUGGUAAGGUAUUGGCUUACCAUGGUUUCAACGGGUAACGGGGAAUUAGGGUUCGAUUCCGGAGAGGGAGCCUGAGAAACGGCUACCACAUCCAAGGAAGGCAGCAGGCGCGCAAAUUACCCAAUCCCGACACGGGGAGGUAGUGACAAUAAAUACUGAUACAGGGCUCUUUUGGGUCUUGUAAUCGGAACGAGUACAAUUUAAACCCCUUAACGAGGAACAAUUGGAGGGCAAGUCUGGUGCCAGCAGCCGCGGUAAUUCCAGCUCCAAUAGCGUAUAUUAAAGUUGUUGCAGUUAAAAAGCUCGUAGUUGAACCUUGGGCCUGGCUGGCCGGUCCGCCUCACCGCGUGUACUGGUCCGGCCGGGCCUUUCCUUCUGGAGAGCCCCAUGCCCUUCACUGGGCGUGCGGGGGAACCAGGACUUUUACUUUGAAAAAAUUAGAGUGUUCAAAGCAGGCCUUUGCUCGAAUACGUUAGCAUGGAAUAAUAGAAUAGGACGUGCGGUCCUAUUUUGUUGGUUUCUAGGACCGCCGUAAUGAUUAAUAGGGAUAGUCGGGGGCAUCAGUAUUCAAUUGUCAGAGGUGAAAUUCUUGGAUUUAUUGAAGACUAACUACUGCGAAAGCAUUUGCCAAGGAUGUUUUCAUUAAUCAGUGAACGAAAGUUAGGGGAUCGAAGACGAUCAGAUACCGUCGUAGUCUUAACCGUAAACUAUGCCGACUAGGGAUCGGGCGAUGUUUCUAUCUUGACUCGCUCGGCACCUUACGAGAAAUCAAAGUUUUUGGGUUCU
This 873-nucleotide ribosomal RNA is filed under the name uncultured Pleosporales. RNAcentral describes it as "SSU rRNA". It matches the Rfam family "Eukaryotic small subunit ribosomal RNA", at positions 238 to 1115 of the family's 1831-position model. Lineage: Eukaryota; Fungi; Ascomycota; Dothideomycetes; Pleosporales. The record is from RNAcentral.